CUUGCAUGUUGGAAACAAGGAAAGAAACGUCUAAGCAUGAAGAGACCUUGAAAAACAGACAGCAUAUGGGGCUGUCACGGGAUGAACAAAUGACUCGGACCCAAACCCGAACCCGAACCCGAAGAAUUGAGAGGACAAUGAACAGAUAGACAUCAGGAAUCAGAAAAGAUUAAGCUGAAACUAAAGAAAGACACUGAGGAGAGAACAGAAUAUCAACAUGUCAACUGUUGAAACCAGAGAGAAUGAUGCUCACAAUUCUCCUCAUAGGAAAAGAUGGAGCAAAAACCAACCUCU
Molecule: long non-coding RNA, 294 nt
Organism: Megalobrama amblycephala (Wuchang bream)
Lineage: Eukaryota; Metazoa; Chordata; Actinopteri; Cypriniformes; Xenocyprididae
Exons: 4
Source: RefSeq, a predicted model, not a curated record